This 419-nucleotide ribosomal RNA is filed under the name uncultured bacterium. RNAcentral describes it as "bacterial SSU rRNA". It matches the Rfam family "Bacterial small subunit ribosomal RNA", at positions 8 to 455 of the family's 1533-position model. The record is from RNAcentral.
AGAGUUUGAUCCUGGCUCAGAACGAACGCUGGCGGCAGGCCUAAAACAUGCAAGUCGAACGCCCUAGCAAUAGGGGGUGGCGCACGGGUGAGUAACACGUGGGAAUAUGCCUUUUGGUACGGAACAACGUCGGGAAACUGACGCUAAUACCGUAUGGUCCCUUCGGGGUAAAGAUUUAUCGCCAAAAGAUUAGCCCGCGUCUGAUUAGCUAGUUGGUGAGGUAAGAGCUCACCAAGGCGACGAUCAGUAGCUGGUCUGAGAGGACGAUCAGCCACACUGGGACUGAGACACGGCCCAGACUCCUACGGGAGGCAGCAGUUAGGAAUAUUGGACAAUGGACGAAAGUCUGAUCCAGCCAUGCCGCGUGAGCGAUGAAGGCCUUCGGGUUGUAAAGCUCUUUAGUCCACGAUUAUAAUGAC